This 229-nucleotide ribosomal RNA is filed under the name Limosilactobacillus reuteri. RNAcentral's name for it is "partial 16S ribosomal RNA". It matches the Rfam family "Bacterial small subunit ribosomal RNA", at positions 1 to 203 of the family's 1533-position model. Lineage: Bacteria; Bacillati; Bacillota; Bacilli; Lactobacillales; Lactobacillaceae. The record is from RNAcentral.
AUGAGAGUUUGAUCCUGGCUCAGGAUGAACGCCGGCGGUGUGCCUAAUACAUGCAAGUCGUACGCACUGGCCCAACUGAUUGAUGGUGCUUGCACCUGAUUGACGAUGGAUCACUAGUGAGUGGCGGACGGGUGAGUAACACGUAGGUAACCUGCCCCGGAGCGGGGGAUAACAUUUGGAAACAGAUGCUAAUACCGCAUAACAACAAAAGCCACAUGGCUUUUGUUUG